AAUUAGAUCUUCAAAUUUACUCAGCUGAAUUUUGUUUUUUAACACAGUCAAAUGCUGGUGUAUGUUUUUCUUAUAUCUCCUUCGGCAGCCAGCAUUGUGUGCUAAAGUAGAGUAAGCCAGCUAUAAACACUGGUCAAAUAAAAGCACAAAUUAGUGUUUUCCUACUACCCUCUUUUUUCACAUAAUUUCCUUGCCUUCUACUUUACCCUUCAUGACAAGACUCAAUGUCUAUGUAUAAUGUGUCUUGAAGUUUUUAGAAAGAUAGCUGUAAAAAUCUAGUAAAUGAGUAAUAGUGAUAAUACCUGAAGAAUUCUAUCCAUUGAAGAUUCCGUUAAUUUGGACUUAAGCCUGCUAUAGCGCAUUGACAAUCGGUUUCAAAAAGUGAAGUGCAGUGGAAGGAGAACAAGAUUACAAAUCAGGGGGUCUAAUCCUCUUCCCGUGUGCCCCUAACUUGCUCGGUGACCUUGGACAGACGCUUAUCUUCUUUAUGCCUCCAGCCUCCUUCUGUAAAGGGAUGAGCUGUAGCCAAUGUCCUCUUCCUGGUAAUGGACAGAGCCGGGGCCACUGUCCGGAGAGGAGAUAGAAUCCUGUCAGAACAGCUUUUCUUUACCACUUCUGGAUCUGCUCCGGAGUUAGAAGGCUGGCGUCUCCAUCAUUCAAUAUUUCACCCCAGCACCAAACCGACAUGGAUACUUUUGAUAUCAUUCAAGGUGCCUCUAAAGAAGGAUACAGUCUGGGAUCAGUUUAAAUGGAAUCCAUCUGAAAGAACCAGAAGGAAUGAUGGUUUCAGACAUGGAGAAUGUUCUGCUUCUAUUUUAGCAAUAAAUUUGACCUUUGUUUUUCUGGCAGCCGAGGCAUAAGGAGUAACAUGAAUGGACUAUUUAUACUUGCUGGACAAAUAGUAGGCUCAAUAAAUAUUUUUUCAUUGACUCUCAACCACCCCUUAGUUGGGAAGGCAAAAUACUGAUAGAGAAGUCCCAGAAGAAUGGAGCACAGGGUGGGUGGCUAGAAAGGUUUUUGGUGAAGGGAGAAUCCUAAAACAAGCUUCAAACUCCCCUGUCUCAACCCGUUGCCAAGGCUAGGCCAUUCUGAGAAAUUCCCAUGAUACAUGCAGGCCACCAGCAUGGCUCCAGGAGGUGAGGCAUGCCCAGUCGUUCCCUGUAGCAGUUCCAUUCCAGGAUGGAAGGUCCAUCUUGAUCUGUAGGCCAGAUAUUUCUUUGAGGAAAAUGUAGCAUUGUCUCUUUUACCCAAUCACAUACCUUUGGAAGGAAAAAAAGGCAACCCUCUACCUGUAGAUCCUUAAGCCUGAGCCCUAACCAGCUGCAGAGCUGGCUCAGAGAACCCUUCGUUACAUAAAGCUUCUGCCCCUGACUGAGGGAUGAACACAGCACCUCCUCACCGGCAGUUAGCUGCUGCCCCUCAGAUUCCCAAAGCCUGCCCUUGGGAUUCAGGGUCAGGCCCAGGCUCAGCCCCAAUUGCCCUUGUGUGAGAGAUUACUCAGUUUCAGAUCUCUGAAAUUCUCUGGGUUUCCCGGUGGAUGGGGAGCUCUCUUCAUUCUUGCUAUUCCUCAGCUUCCACGUUCCUUCACAACGGCCACUUUAAAAAGUCUUUUCUCUGCUGCUUCUUUCCCAGAUUCAGGCUUUUCCUACUACAGCCUCCUCAAAGUUAUUUCUGCUUGCUCCAGUAGGGGAGCUAGGCAGCUGCUCUGAGUUUUGCCGUCUGGGCUUAGAACAGCUUGAAGUUAGCACAAAGGCGAAUGAAGCUUUAAAUCUCCAGCACUUAACAGCUUCUCUGCAGCCUCAGAGGAUCCUCAAACAACGCUGCAACCUAGGGAGAAAAGGAAAUGUGAUAUUCAUUGAGAUUCCUCAUGUCCCAGCCCUCCAGGUCACCUAAGGAUGGGAGCUGGUCAUCAGAGGAACCAAUCCUGCGAUCAGAGGGCUGGAAUUUUCAGUCCCAUCGCCAGCCCCCCCCCCAACCAACAUCUUCCAGGAGGAGAGAGGGACUGGAGAUCGAGUUCAGUCACCAAUGGCCAAUGAUUUAAUCAAUCGUGCCUAUGUAAUGAAGCCUCCAUAAAAACCCAAAAGAUGGGGUUCACAGAGCUUCUGGGUUGAUGAACAUGUGGAGAUGUGGGGAGAGUGGCGGGCCCAGAGAGAGCAUGGAAGCUCCACGACCUUUCCCACAUGCCUUGCUCUAUACAUCUCUUCCAUUCGGCUGUUCCUGAGUUAUAUCCUUUAUAAUAAACUGGUAAUCUAGGGAGAACCGAGUGCCCAGCCAACAGCCAGCACCAACCACUGCACCUGGGACUGAGUCCAUCUUGCCCUUCCAGCUCUGUUGACCUCCCAGGGGACUGCAGCAACAGGACUGAGCCCAGCUGAGCCCAGCAGAGGAAACGCCCAGCUGAUCCACGAAUCAUGAGGCAUAAUCAAUUGUUUUACAAUACUAAAAUUUAUAUGUAAUCAAAUAAAAAUAUAUGUUGGUGAAGUGAUAUUGCAAAAGGUUAACAAUUGUAUUUAAAUGGUGGAUAUAUGAUUAUUGUGCUAUUUCUAUUUUCUGUGUGUUUGAAAAAUUUAAAAUGAAAAGUUAAAAUAGGCAAAAAAAAAAAAAAAAAAAAAAAGAAUGGUCUAUCCCUAGGCAAAAACUCAUUUGUCAGUAUAUAAUUCAUUUAUCCUAUGGGUUCCUAUGCUGGAGUAGGGAUGGGCAAAAAUAAAAUAAAAAGAAGAGAACAUAGGGGAAGAGAUUAAAAAGCAAGUUGGAAGACUAUACCAUUCAUUCAAUU
Molecule: long non-coding RNA, 2776 nt
Filed under: Equus asinus (donkey)
Lineage: Eukaryota; Metazoa; Chordata; Mammalia; Perissodactyla; Equidae
Description: lncRNA (ENSEASG00005037613.1)
Source: RNAcentral